RNAcentral lists this microRNA precursor (93 nucleotides) under Tribolium castaneum (red flour beetle). RNAcentral's name for it is "microRNA tca-mir-11618a precursor (tca-mir-11618a-3)". Lineage: Eukaryota; Metazoa; Arthropoda; Insecta; Coleoptera; Tenebrionidae. The record is from miRBase by way of RNAcentral.
AAAAUGUUUUCGAUAAAUAGUUAGCAUUGGUCGUUUCUAUGCUUCUUCGUGGUCAUUGAUCGGCCAAUGUUCGCUUUAUUUCGAAUCCUCUAG